GAAAAAGUAUUUUUUGUAGGAUUCAAUUGUUGCAAGUCCAUCAUUGAAGUUAUGGUGGUGAUGCAAAACUAUCCAAAUAUGAUUCUUCCAUCUUUUUCGAACAACAUUCAAAGGCGGGGAUUUGCAACCUUUGUACAGUUAAAUAUAGUUCUACAGGCAUCCAAAUACAAUCCUAAAUUUACAUGCAGUUGAAACUUUCACCAGAACGCAGCCAAAAUCUUUUGAAAAAUUUGUUUGUAUUUAUCAUCUUGGGCGGACACAGUUUAAGCGUUUUUUGAGCGGUCAAGAUCUGUAAGCCACGAUUUAUUAAACCCUUAUCCUUAAAACCAUUAGGAUUUUGCGGCUAUUGGUGAGUUUGAGAGAAAUUUUUCUACACAACGCCAUAAAGACCCGAAAAACGCACUUGAUAUAUUUUUUUUGUAAACUCAAGCGCUCUAAAUUCCUAUGCAUAUAGAGGAGCUUCUGAGGUUGAAAGCUCUUAAAAUAUAUCUGGAGAAGGGAGAUUUUCUGGACAAAGGUCUUGUUUACAAUGUUUCCAAAACUCGAUUCCCUUAAAAUGCCUCGAAUUACCGGAAUCCUCAGGAGCUCAUUGAAAACCACGUUUUUCAAUUGUUGACUCAUUUGUUUGGUUAUUCAUCUGGCGACUUCAGCCAACAAAACCGUUGUCUUCUCAAACACUUUAUGUGCAUGUCCAGCCAAUCUGAUUUUACGGCAAUAUCAAUCAAGGCUUUUUGCGCAAGGAGAAACAUUAAUUUUAGUUUAGGUGUAAUUUUCGAGCAAUUUCGUAGAAAACUUUGGCGUUAUCUAAUAAGAUAACAUUAAUCUGUUUUUCCUAACUUAUAUUCGUCAUUUUCCAAAAAUAAUCUCUGGUCUUAAGUUGAUGCAGUAUUUGACUUCAUGAUGUGUUGAAAUUGCCCCACUGGACUAAUAAAUGAAAAUAAUUUCAGUUUUCCCAGUAACAAUGACCCGGAGAAAUUGUCUUGCCACCUUAAAUUAGUAACAUAUUUAAAAAGCGAUUAUUACCAGUUUAAUCACCUGUAUAAGUGUGUGCCGUGUCAGCAAACAUUAUAGCUGAUAGCGAACAAUAAAGUAAAUACGUACCUAGUCGUGUUCGAGCUUUUAUCUGAACCGAUCCCUAGUACAAUUAAAUUAAAACAAAGUACAAAUCAGGUGAAAUGCAACUGUAGAGAAACUCCUGCCAAGGCUAGUGAAACUAUGAAAAAAGCUCAAGUGUGGUUGGUAGUUCUACUACUGGGAAUUUUACUUCUGGAUUAUGUGCAUUGUACAUUUAUGAACUACACGAGCUUCUUGAAAGCUGAUGAAACCAAACAGGGACAUCUUUUUUACAGCCAGAACUGUGCCGAGUGUUACCUAUACAAAGCGGGACGAUGUAUUCGUAUUUUUGGAUGCAAGCGGUAAGACGUCCCAGUUCAAAAACUGGUACGUCCAAAUAUCUCCACUUCAUCAGAAAUGUCCGAUAAUCCAACUGCAUGAGAUGUCCAAAAAAUAUCAACUAGAAGCCUUGCUGCUGCUUAAUAUUAAUUAAUUUAUUGCAUCUUUUGUUCAAAUUAGUGCACGGUUUUACUCAUAAAAUUACCAAUGAAACGCUGUCGAAGCUUCAAAUACAAAAUUUGUGAUACAUAGCUAAGAGUAUGAUUAGAUUAGGUCGCACUAACAAUGUUACGUUUAAGUUUGUUAAGUUACGAGAAGUUAACUAGAAAGUAGGCAGAUAAAAUUUCCCUUGAAGCUCAUGUAAAAGGCGAAAUAUUGGUGUGAAAUUGAGCUUCAAGGGAAUGGAAAACGAACUCAUCAAAGCCUGAAAACGGCCAAUAUAAUUAGGACUUUGAUGAAAUUUAUCAUUCAGCCGAGCCUGUUUAGAAAAAUGUAAGAUAUCUGUUCACCUUCGUCUUCACUACUUACCUGGUAGACAUUAAAACACUUUGUCAUGA
Long non-coding RNA from Dendroctonus ponderosae (mountain pine beetle), 1949 nucleotides. RefSeq lists it as uncharacterized. Lineage: Eukaryota; Metazoa; Arthropoda; Insecta; Coleoptera; Curculionidae. The record is from RefSeq and is a predicted model, not a curated record. The transcript has 2 exons.